This 253-nucleotide ribosomal RNA is filed under the name uncultured bacterium. RNAcentral's name for it is "partial 16S ribosomal RNA". It matches the Rfam family "Bacterial small subunit ribosomal RNA", at positions 524 to 776 of the family's 1533-position model. The record is from RNAcentral.
UACGUAGGGUGCGAGCGUUGUCCGGAAUUAUUGGGCGUAAAGAGCUCGUAGGCGGUCUGUCGCGUCGGAUGUGAAAGCCCGGGGCUUAACCCCGGGUCUGCAUUCGAUACGGGCAGGCUAGAGUGUGGUAGGGGAGAUCGGAAUUCCUGGUGUAGCGGUGAAAUGCGCAGAUAUCAGGAGGAACACCGGUGGCGAAGGCGGAUCUCUGGGCCAUUACUGACGCUGAGGAGCGAAAGCGUGGGGAGCGAACAGG